RNAcentral lists this ribosomal RNA (328 nucleotides) under uncultured eukaryote. RNAcentral's name for it is "partial 18S ribosomal RNA". It matches the Rfam family "Eukaryotic small subunit ribosomal RNA", at positions 1470 to 1796 of the family's 1831-position model. The record is from RNAcentral.
CCCUUAGAUGUCCUGGGCCGCACGCGCGUUACACUGAUGCAUUCAACGAGCCUAUAACCUUGGCCGAGAGGCCUGGGCAAUCUUGUUAACGUGCAUCGUGAUAGGGAUAGAUUAUUGAAAUUAUUAAUCUUGAACGAGGAAUUCCUAGUAAACGCAGAUCAUCAAUCUGCAUUGAUUACGUCCCUGCCCUUUGUACACACCGCCCGUCGCUCCUACCGAUUGAGUGGUCCGGUGAGGCUUUGGGAUCUGAGCGGAAAGAGCGUUUCGCUGUUUCUGCUCGGAAAACUCAGUCGAACCUUAUCAUUUAGAGGAAGGAGAAGUCGUAACA